GUGGAGUUUUUGCUGGGACAGGCUCAGAUACACAGAAAAUGGACAUAACAUUGUUCUGUUUGCUCCAUGUUUAGAGAAGGAAACCUUUCACUUUCCUGCUAAAGAGGGUCUUUAGUAUCUGGGGUUUUCAUAUAUUUCAAGUCAAGCAUGUGAAAAGUCUGUUACCUUUCUAGGCCAUGCUGCGAACGGAAGACAGAUUGACGGUAACUUGAAAGGGUGGCUGAAAUAAGCCUACAUCCUCAUCAGACCUCUCUAGAUGAUAAGGUGGGAUUUGUUGUGGAAGGAGGGACUCUUAGUCAUGAAGUGGCAGAGAGAAGGGCUGAGAUCCAGGGCAACCCUCCUGCAGAGAAACAGAGGAAUCUGUACCCAGUGUGGCUAUACUGGAGUUAUCACAGAGGUGCAGGGAUGUUACCCCUAAUUGUCUAACUUUGUAUGUUGGUUUAGGGAUUUUUUUAGCAGAGGAAAGCUCAAGAAACUAGCUCUGAAGGAGAUAACCUUCUCAGCUGAAGUAAUGAUCACUUUCUAGAAAGGAUGAAAAAUGUUUAAACUUUUGCCAGGUUAUUAGCAUCUUCCAAACUAAUUUCACGUGGAAGUGUGGCAGAGUGGCAGACUCUUGAGCAUGUCACAGGCACCAGGUUUGGAGUCUCACGUGAUGCUUUCAGGUCAUCAGCACCACACAAACCCUGCACCUCUGCCAGCAAUAGCCCUGAACUAACAAAAACAGUGUGUCCUCGGCUUUGGGGGUGCUUUCUGUGAGGAUGUGGUUUUCCUCACUGUAAUCUUUUUCCCCAAACAAUACUAAAAAGGGGAAUCCUCUAAGCAUGGAAGACAGCCUCAAAUUGGAAGUGAAAUUCAGAUUUUGCUAUCCACUUUUUUAGCCCUCUCUUUCUCUUCUAGGGUUACUCUUGGCAAAUCUCCCUGCCUGGGAAGCGGUGCUGUGACCCCUGGCUCUCUGCAGUCACACCGCCCAGGUUUUACAUAAGUGCAAAGAGCAGUUUUACAAACGCCUGUAAUUUGGUUAUAUUUGGGGACAUUUUCACAUGACAAGUGAAAGGUCAAUUCUUUAUCCGGAGAAUCCCUUGCUAGCAAUUUUUAAGCCCUUGUUGCAAAGAAUUAGGGCACUAGAACAUUUCAAACCGAAGGGCUCAGGGAUUGUUUGAGAAACCCCUUGAGCAGCGUUUGUUCCCCAAGACCUCCUUCUCCACAACAGGCUUGAAAUAUACGAAAACCCCAGAUACUAAAAACUGCCUUUAGCAGGAAAGUGAAAGACUUUCUUCUCUAAAGCCACACACAAGCCAACCCUAAGGCCCAUGAUUAGCAUCAGUUAUUUCACCCGUAUGCCUGGAGGAAGGCAACAUUUUAAGCCCCUAAAGCCAUAUUCUUCAAAUAAGAAGUAUUUAAUAAUCUUUAUGAUAGACAGUAGUGCUAUCUCUGCCUUUAACGAAGCUUUUGUUCUGCUAAAUCUUAUUCACAGGCUUCAUUCUGAGAAUAUAUGUAAGUGUUGGCAGGACCAGUGACCCAUGUAACUGUAAUGCAGUGGGUUGCUAUAAAACAAGUGAGAGAAAUCUAAGGUUUUAUUCCGGCAGUCUUAGUGGAGGUGAAAUCAGUGUCUGCUAGCUGGAGCUAUGGGGUUUUUGUAGGAAAAAAUCCCCACUUGUAAUUUUCCCAUUAGGAAAUUUGCUGUAGAAAAGUAAUUUUUAAAAGAUCUGGAGGAAACCUCUUCUUCCCCCUAAUUUUUUAAGGUUUUUUCACUUUUUCUGCUUGAUUAAAGAAGAGAAAAAAAGAGAAACCUUAGUUAUUUUAAUAUAUUUCAUCUGGACUUCCUUUUUUUUCUGGAAAAGAUUUAGUAAGUAAGGUAUUAUUUGCGUUAUUUUCUUAGAGAGGGAGGGGGCUAACAAGCAAAAGUUUUAUUUUUAAAUGUGAAAAGCAAAACUUUUAAAAGCAAGACUAAAGCAAUUUAAAAAGUUUAAGAUUUUUAAAAAGCAAGGCUCUCUCUUAUAUGUAUUUUUUAAACAUCACUUGUUCAUGGGGAGGAGUAGCUUUUUUUAAAAGAGAAAAGGAAACAUUUUCAAUAAUCCCCAGAUUAAGAUGCUCAAAAUUUUAUUUUUGCAUAAAGUCUUUCAUUUUGAAUUAAAAAGUCCCAUUUGGCUGAAAAAACCCCUACUUUCAGAUAAAAUAGUGGCCUUCCUUAAAUCCCAGAUAUUCAAUGAAGAAACUUCAAAGUCUGCUUAGUUUAACUAUUCAAGGUGUAAAAUACAGUGUAGUGAAAGUGAGGGUGGCAAAAGGUGACCUUAAAAAUUUGCUAGCAUCUCUAGCCGUACGACUUUUCCUUCUAGGCUAUUUAAACACAUAGCAACAAUGGGAGAGCAGAAGGGUUUUCUGUGCUCAGAGAAAUGCGGACGGUGACAGUGAGUGAUUUUAUAGGAGGUGCUCAACCUGCUUAAUCUACCUUUUUUUUUCAGAUUUUAACAGACUUCAUGAAGCUUUAUUUAUGUAUUUACCUGUUGUUCUCCAUCAUUGUUUUAAAGUCAAACCAAUGGGACUGAGUGAGAUUGAGGUGGCCUAAACUGGCUGAGGCAGAUGUUUGCUUAUCAAAGAGCUGAUUUUGCAAUACUGUGCUAUCUCUCCCAGCAACAUCCCUCGCUAUGGUCCAGGUUCUGGGCCCAAAACCUUGAAGGGAAAGGUGAAUGUCCAUUUUGCAUAUCCCAUUUGUGCGCUAAAUGACCAUGGUAUCUUAAAUAGGGCUACGGUGGCAAUUAAAAUAAUGAGAUACAUAAAAGCCACCUGCUUUAAAUAAAUACAGUAAUCUGCCCAAAGCUCCCUGAAUGGACUGGUAUUCAGUGAGAGCCCUGAACCUGCAUACAUACCUAUGCUUAACAACAUAAUCAUUAAAGAACAGAAACCUUUCCUUCUAAUCCCCCUCAUACAGGACAACAUGUGGAUGUUAGCAUAUUUGGACUGCUUUGCAUUCCUUCUUGCCUGCUUUUGAGAACAUACUACAUUUUAAAACUUGUUGGGUUCUUUCAUGUUUUAUUUGACCCUAUGUAAUUGCAUUCCUGAAGGAAUAACAGGCUCCCACAGUGAUUUAUACCCUGUAUUAAAUGUCAGUUUUGAAGAGACACAGUUAGCAGUUUGGUUUAACCUCCUGCCUUCCUAUGUAAGUUCAAAAAUGAAGCGGAGCUCAGGAUCCAAGGGGAAAAGUAAAAAGAUGAAAAUGGACUUAGAGGCAGCAAGGAAUGAGAUGUAUGUGUUCCUGGCCCCGCACCUUUAGAAGCCACCGGAAUGAGAUUCCAUAAAGCUAUCUCUAUUUUUAACUGUAAUUUGUAUACUUCAUUGCUGCCCUUGACCAGUCGAGAAGGCUGUAAAUUAGCACUGCGAAACGCUCAGCUUUCUCCGGGCAGACGACUGCAGCGUCUCCAACAAUGGGCCAGAACAUUUUUCCUGCAAAAUCAACCAAAUCAACCAAGAAACCAACCCCCAGUGGGUUUGGCAUGUGUCCCAAUAAGAAGGUCAGCAAAAUAAAUUGUCCUUGUAAUUAAGAGUUGCUCCUUUGUUUUUAUGUGUUUAACUGCGCAUAAAUAGCAAAGCAGGAUAGGUAUGUUAUUACUGUUUUAAAUAUUUCAUUCCCUUUGUAGAUUUCCUUACGACAUAGUUAACAACUGCUUAAUCAUAUGUUAUGACCUAAUUAUGGGGGAUUCAGUUAAAUAAAUCUUGAUGUAAUGGUAUAUUCUUGAUGUAAUGGUACUCUGAUGGCUGCUUUUAUGUGCCUGUGUGCAUUUAAAUGUAAAAGUAAAUGCAGCCUGCGUAAGGAUCUGACACAUGACUUAAAUGGUCAUCAUCUUUAGAAUCACUGGCGAAACAAGUUACAAGGAGACUUCUUUUAAGCAAGAAUACUGUACAUAAAAACCUAUUUCCCAUACCCAGGAAACGAACAUCCUAGCGAUCACUUUCUUUAAUGUGCAACCGUAAUGUUUCAUUUCCCAGAAAGGAGAUUUAGCUGGAGCUGCUCCAAGGAGGAUUCUGUUUCCACACUGAAAGCAAUCAAAGUUUUGCUCAGAUUAGUUUUCCCUAAAUAACUUUGGCAAAGGUAUUUAAAUUAAUGCAAAACUUUUGUAGGAUCAGGCCGGGGGACCAUUGAUAGUUGUUCUGACAUAGGCAAAUGGCUAUAGUUUAUCAGCUGAACUCAAUCAGGGCAUUUCCAUUGCCUUCUCCAGAGCCUCACUUGUCCGACAGAUGAACGACGAGUACAGAUCUGGUCUGCUGUUUGCCAGGUGGGAAGGCUGACAGGGAUCUUUUAUUUUGAAAUGAAAAAUGUAAGUGAUAACAUUUUCUUAAGGUUGGAUUUAUCUUGCCAAAGGCGAGUGUCAUAAAGUCAAGGAAUAAGUUGCCCUCUGGAAACGCCUACCUCUGGUGACUAUUCAGGGAGCUAACAUGACUAGCUUAGACCUGAUGCUUGCCUUUCAGGUAGAUAGUUAGGUAAAAUGAAUCCUACCAUGGGAUGUAUACACGGUGUUGUGUAUCAGCCUCUCAACUUCUAGAUGUGCUGCCAGAUCACUGUAAAUAUUUGUGCCUUGGUGUGAGACACUCUGGGAUAGGUCCAUCACCCCCUAAAUACAGCUGGAAGACAAGAAUUUCGUGGUAAUCUGAGGGUAGAAGCCUGUGGGGUGCAAUUAAUAUCUCAGGAAUAUGGGAUCAGAUUUGCCUUUCAUAGCUUUAGAUGGCAGAAUGGGAGAUAUCCAUCCCUGCACUUGCCACACUUUGCCAUCAGUGGAGAGAAGUAGUCCUGUCUGAUGGGAUUAUUCCUGACAAUGUUAUCAGUCCAAAGUCAAAGGAGCAAGUCUUGAACUGGGGUGCCUGUCCUCAUGGCCAUGAGUCUUGGUUCCCCUACAUUCACUAGGAUCACCUACAGUGGCUGUCCAACUUCAGGAUCAUGAAUACCCAGUCCUAAACUGAUUAGCAUUUCCUCUCUGGUCUUUACUUUGCCAUUUGUGCUGCCAAGCCGGGACUGCAGGCUCCAAGGGCAGAGCAUUAUCUAUUCAUGCAUAAACCGAGAGCGGAGCUCAGCUCUGCCCAUUAUAGAGUGGGAAAACUUGAAGACGAACUUAAGUUAAGGCCCUUAUUCAAUGGGAUCUGGUUUAAACAGACCUGUGCACACCGUGGCAUGGUGGUUUGGUUAUUAUGUGACUUGGGUGGUGACGAUGUAGAAGUUAUACCCCAGGUAUAAAUCUGCUAGCCUUCCUGGUAGGUUUGAUUCAAGAAGGAGGUUAACCAAUAGCAGAAAAAGAAUCUUAAACCAGUGUGAGUAGAGAAAAAUCAAUUCCUAACCAGCAUCCAGUCAGUACUUGGUCUUAGUAAUAAGAAUUGGAGAACUGAGUGAGGAAUAUCUCCUGGAUUUCUCAAAUCUUUUAGAAAAUAUUAGGAUUUUGCAGCCAUUCAAGGCACUAAAAGCUAAAACAACACCAGCAGAGGGAGACAAACCCUGUUAUCAGGUGAGCCCUGUCUAGCAAGACCUGUAGGAUUCGCUGCUUUUUUAUAGGAAGCUGAACCAGCAACCUGAAGGCAAAACAUCUUUUGUGAAAUGCUGUGUGCCAUUAAUGCCUGCACAUAUUUAAUAGCAUGAACUUAGGGAUAAAGGAAGUUCUCUUAAAAAAAAAUCUUUUGGUACCAUACUGAAUGUUUCAUUGGUCUGAAAUAAAAUGUUUCAGUUUGGUGGGUUGCAUGUGUAUGGGCAUGUGCGUACGCAUAAAAUACGUUCAAAAUGCAGUUAUGCUAACAGUUUAGAAAAUUCAUUUCAGAUAAAAAAUCAGAACAUUUAAAAAAGAUUCACCUAAGUAUUCUUGCCUUCUUCUGAUUAUUUUUUCCCUUUCUUUGGAGGGUAAGCUGUCACUGGACUUGACACAAAUAUACCUUUAGGCUUGACCACUCCAAAACCGUGUUUCCUGGUGAAUGGGACAGCUCUUUGAAACAUUUUAAUCAGACCAAAUUGUGAUGGUUGUCAUCAAGUAAGAAAGCAACCCGGACUUCCACAGAUCCUAGAUUGCAGAGGACUACGCUGCUAAUGUUUCUAGGCAAGCGAAGCCUGCAGCAGCCUUUUGUUCUUGGUGGUUCAGAUGGGCGAAGCAUUGACUUGCAACUUCCCUGUUACUCAAAGCCUGUAUAAAUAGUAAAGCCAGCAGGAGCACCACACUGCAUGCUUUUGCUAACGCGAGAGAAAUGUUUUGUGCUAACAUCUGAUCCAGAUUCCUCAUUAAUGGACGCAGAAACAUGGCCUCAGUGUUCAGCCUGCAGAACAAUGAACCUAUAAACAUGGGACAGCGUAACUUCUCCUAGAGAGAGCUGAAGGGCCAAGAGCUUCUUAAACUGGAGUGCACCGAUGUACCUUGAAAAAGGAGUUCAGGAAGAUACAUGAAAAGAAAAAGAGGUGGAGUGUAGAAGCCACAGAAGGACAAGUUUCAGUCCCUGCACAGGAGAUGCUGAAAAGGAGGAGGCAAUGCUGGAGAUUUCUCCAGUCGAUCAGCUGAAUUUCCACCCGUACAGCUGGAUUUUGAUCCUAUAUUUCAGGCUGAAGCAUUCCUUACUUCUGCAGAGACUGCCCUAAUCAACAUCAGCAGAACCACCUGAGCCAUCAGCCAUCACCCAGCAGGGAAAAUGAUUAUGCGCUGUCUUGUCAGGCUUGUCAUGAAGGGUGACGUUCCCAGUGACCUGGUGCUUCGCUUGCAGAGGAGGCCAAUGGCCUCGCUGUCCAGGUGCAGAGAUCCCCGCAAGGUUUUUCACGGAAGUCAGAGGGGAAGAAACCUGGCAGCAGAGCCCCGGAUACGGCUGGGACUGGGUCACAGGCAAGAACCACACCAAUCCCCCUCUCACCCACGCGAGAUGUGAUGCAAGGGGAGGUGUGUCUUGUGUUGAGCAUAGACAUAAUGUUCUCUAUUUUUGAUGUGCUGGGUCUUUAAAGCGCACAAUUUUGUAUCUACCGCUGAAUUAAGCAGUGUUUGCUUUUCAAACCUUCCACAUUUGUAUUUUUAGCUCCAUUUUGGCAUUCACUUUUUUGGGUGGAAUAUAUAACACACUCGGUUGUUCAGCGCGCCUGGACCGAAUUCAGCCUAUGUGUAACUCCACGGGCUUGAGCAGAAGCUACGUUCAAGGUGAAUUACUCUCUAUGGAGCUAAGGAAAUACAGCUUCUGUAGACAUGCGUUUCAGCUCCCUCAGUAAAUGCUACACUAUUUCCAUCCACGGUUAUUCCUUUGUGGUUUGGGUUAUGUAUUUACAUUCUACCGAAUAAAUACUACAGCUUUCCCCAUGACUAACACUUCUUAGUAACCAAUAAGCUACUCAAAUACGCUAUUGCCUCCUACAAGAGCCUAAACCGCACU
This is a non-coding RNA of Phalacrocorax carbo (great cormorant), 7371 nucleotides long. The record is from RefSeq and is a predicted model, not a curated record. Lineage: Eukaryota; Metazoa; Chordata; Aves; Suliformes; Phalacrocoracidae.